GAUGAACGCUGGCGGCGUGCUUAACACAUGCAAGUCGAACGAUGAAGCUCAGCUUGCUGGGUGGAUUAGUGGCGAACGGGUGAGUAACACGUGAGUAACCUGCCCUUAACUCUGGGAUAAGCCUGGGAAACUAGGUCUAAUACCGGAUAGGAGCGCCUACCGCAUGGUGGGUGUUGGAAAGAUUUAUCGGUUUUGGAUGGACUCGCGGCCUAUCAGCUUGUUGGUGAGGUAAUGGCUCACCAAGGCGACGACGGGUAGCCGGCCUGAGAGGGUGACCGGCCACACUGGGACUGAGACACGGCCCAGACUCCUACGGGAGGCAGCAGUGGGGAAUAUUGCACAAUGGGCGAAAGCCUGAUGCAGCGACGCCGCGUGAGGGAUGACGGCCUUCGGGUUGUAAACCUCUUUCAGUAGGGAAGAAGCGAAAAUGACGGUACCUGCAGAAGAAGCACCGGCUAACUACGUG
RNAcentral lists this ribosomal RNA (466 nucleotides) under uncultured bacterium. RNAcentral describes it as "partial 16S ribosomal RNA". It matches the Rfam family "Bacterial small subunit ribosomal RNA", at positions 28 to 507 of the family's 1533-position model. The record is from RNAcentral.